This 18-nucleotide unclassified non-coding RNA is filed under the name Chlamydomonas reinhardtii. Its description in RNAcentral is "small RNA Cre_0769". The record is from RNAcentral. Lineage: Eukaryota; Viridiplantae; Chlorophyta; Chlorophyceae; Chlamydomonadales; Chlamydomonadaceae.
AUGGGUCAGGUGCCAGGG